RNAcentral lists this long non-coding RNA (234 nucleotides) under Gossypium raimondii (Peruvian cotton). RNAcentral describes it as "long non-coding RNA (GRAI_LNC002179)". The record is from RNAcentral. Lineage: Eukaryota; Viridiplantae; Streptophyta; Magnoliopsida; Malvales; Malvaceae.
GAUAGUGUUUGCACUUUACUUACAGGUGAGGUUUCAAUUGAGGAGUUAAAGGAAAUUACUUUUAAUAUGGCCAUACGAAGUUUUAUUUGGUUAAAAUUUCCUUGGUAAUGCCACCCUCAAUGGCUGCAUGUUUGGACCUUUGCAUUUGAUAAGAUACAUCAAAUGGAAUGUGCAUAGUGGGGUCAAUACAUUGUAAACUUGUUGGUGCCAAUUGGGAGCCAAAAUAUGGGAAAU